AGUGAACGCUGGCGGUAGGCCUAACACAUGCAAGUCGAACGGCAGCACAGUAAGAGCUUGCUCUUACGGGUGGCGAGUGGCGGACGGGUGAGGAAUACAUCGGAAUCUACUUUUUCGUGGGGGAUAACGUAGGGAAACUUACGCUAAUACCGCAUACGACCUACGGGUGAAAGCAGGGGAUCUUCGGACCUUGCGCGAUUGAAUGAGCCGAUGUUGGAUUAGCUAGUUGGCGGGGUAAAGGCCCACCAAGGCGACGAUCCGUAGCUGGUCUGAGAGGAUGAUCAGCCACACUGGACCUGAGACACGGUCCAGACUCCUACGGGAGGAAGCAGUGGGGAAUAUUGGACAAGGGGCGCAAGCCUGAUCCAGCCAUACCGCGUGGGUGAAGAAGGCCUUCGGGUUGUAAACCCCUUUUGUUGGGAAAGAAAAGCAGCAGGUUAAUCCCCCGCUGUUCUGACGGUACCCAAAGAAUAAGCACCGGCUAACUUCGU
RNAcentral lists this ribosomal RNA (491 nucleotides) under uncultured bacterium. Its description in RNAcentral is "partial 16S ribosomal RNA". It matches the Rfam family "Bacterial small subunit ribosomal RNA", at positions 29 to 506 of the family's 1533-position model. The record is from RNAcentral.